Long non-coding RNA from Heteronotia binoei (common prickly gecko), 616 nucleotides. RefSeq lists it as uncharacterized. The record is from RefSeq and is a predicted model, not a curated record. The transcript has 3 exons. NCBI's taxonomy places the organism in Eukaryota, Metazoa, Chordata, Lepidosauria, Squamata, Gekkonidae.
AGUGACGUGAGACAAUGAUGUCAUCUGCAUCUUGGGGUAUUUCUGGAGGAUGAAUGCCUUGUAGAGAGACUCAAGCAGGUGGGAAAUAACUUAUGGCUUCCUAGAAGAGUGUCCAUUCACUAGGUUCAGAGAUUAUGUAAGGAAUGGAUUAAGUGCACAAACCCUCCUUGGUUACAAGACAAGCACCAGGGAGGAGGAGAAGAUUAACCUGGAAGCCAACCCAGAGGUAGAUUGUCAUUUGACAGCCAUCAAGAUAAGAACAUUAUCGUGAACAGAUUGCAUUAGGUAAAAUUACCCAUUGACGCAAGUGAAGUCAUUACAAAAUGGAUUAAUUCCUGUACUGGAUAGGGAUACUGCCACAACCAAUUAGAAAGCACUGAAUUUGAAGCUCAAGGGUAGGGGAGAGGAAGCAAAGGAGGAAAAAGACAUUCAAUUGCACAGCAGUUUUCAAGUCAAAGAGGCACAAUUUCCCUGCUAACACUGGUGAUAGUUUGCUCAUACCAGGAGUGGUUUUCAACUAACUUCAGGCAAAAUUAGUAUCAGAACUGCUGAGAGAUACACUGAUCUCAAAAAGCAGUGCCUCAGAGUAGCUGAAGAAUGUCUGAGGAGGAUGCCG